RNAcentral lists this small nucleolar RNA (88 nucleotides) under Grosmannia clavigera kw1407. RNAcentral describes it as "A. fumigatus snoRNA Afu_513". It matches the Rfam family "A. fumigatus snoRNA Afu_513". The record is from Rfam by way of RNAcentral. Lineage: Eukaryota; Fungi; Ascomycota; Sordariomycetes; Ophiostomatales; Ophiostomataceae.
UUGCAUGAUGAAACGGCACUGGGCUCCGACAUUGCAUGAGCAGAUAUGCCACUUCUGCGACAGGCCUAGAAAACCUCGUCCACUGAUC